CCAAACGCCGUUUGGGGGACGCGACUGGAGAUGCUCUCAUAUCGCCAUCGCCAAACCCUAGGGUGAAACCUAAGACCUAAGAUUUGUUGAGAUGGACGAGGUCGCGGAGCCAAGGAGAGGUGUUGCGGACUCACCGCGAGCUUGCAGGUGGACAAGGCAGAAGAUGUCGAGGUUCUGGAAGUGGUUGAUGUUGCAGCCACGGGUAUUGCGGUGAUCAGCAACAGGGCAUCUCACCACAUCUAGAUAACAAUCUCCAUGACGUUGUAUGAAUGGAAGAAGGUGCAGAACAGUGACAACUCAUUCUUCUCUUACCUAUAUAUGUGAGGGAAGCAUCGGCAAAAUCAUGAGGAGUGUAGAAGACUGUUGUUGCACCACGGAAGGAUGAGGAUCCAAGGUAUACCGCCCGCUCAUUUGCUUAUAAUGCAUUUCCUUACCAUCGUUGUGUCAGCCAGAGCAUUAAUCACGGUAAAGGUUGAGUAACAAUUUUGGUAUAUGUUGAUUCUAUAUAGUUGCAGUAUGAGCUCUGAAUCCCAUGACACAGAGCCCGCAUGAUUUCGGUCAGAGGCAAGUCUAUGGGUGGGGCUUUAUUUCUCCGUUCUCGAAUUAAUUAUAUGAUUCUCUC
Long non-coding RNA from Lolium perenne, 622 nucleotides. RefSeq lists it as uncharacterized. NCBI's taxonomy places the organism in Eukaryota, Viridiplantae, Streptophyta, Magnoliopsida, Poales, Poaceae. The record is from RefSeq and is a predicted model, not a curated record.